Molecule: ribosomal RNA, 406 nt
Filed under: uncultured bacterium
Lineage: Bacteria
Description: partial 16S ribosomal RNA
Rfam family: Bacterial small subunit ribosomal RNA
Source: RNAcentral
AUUGAACGCUGGCGGCAGGCCUAACACAUGCAAGUCGAACGAGUGGCGGACGGGUGAGUAAUGUCGGGGAAACUGCCUGAUGGAGGGGGAUAACUACUGGAAACGGUAGCUAAUACCGCAUACCAUCGGAUGUGCCCAGAUGGGAUUAGCUAGUAGGUGGGGGAACGGCUCACCUCGGCGACGAUCCCUAGCUGGUCUGAGAGGAUGACACGCCACACUGGAACUGAGACACGGUCCAGACUCCUACGGGAGGCAGCAGUGGGGAAUAUUGCACAAUGGGCGCAAGCCUGAUGCAGCCAUGCCGCGGGUGUGAAGAAGGCCUUCGGGUUGUAAAGCACUUUCAGCGGGGAGGCGUUACCCGCAGAAGAAGCACCGGCUAACUCCGUGCCAGCAGCCGCGGUAAUAC